GGAUGGAUGAUGACUCCUUCGUAUGCAUUCCUUGGAAAAUCUGAACAAAAUGAGUGAGAACGCUCUACCGUCUCCUCAUCGAAACUGAGGUCC
RNAcentral lists this small nucleolar RNA (93 nucleotides) under Balaenoptera musculus (blue whale). RNAcentral describes it as "Small nucleolar RNA SNORD116 (ENSBMSG00010008494.1)". It matches the Rfam family "Small nucleolar RNA SNORD116". From Rfam's summary of the family: HBII-85 is a member of the C/D class of snoRNAs, which contain the C (UGAUGA) and D (CUGA) box motifs. HBII-85 is encoded in a tandemly repeated array with another C/D snoRNA, HBII-52, in the Prader-Willi syndrome (PWS) region of chromosome 15. Unlike most other snoRNAs, HBII-85 is expressed prevalently in the brain (but is absent in PWS patients) and lacks any significant complementarity with ribosomal RNA. Lineage: Eukaryota; Metazoa; Chordata; Mammalia; Artiodactyla; Balaenopteridae. The record is from Rfam by way of RNAcentral.